This 495-nucleotide ribosomal RNA is filed under the name uncultured bacterium. RNAcentral describes it as "partial 16S ribosomal RNA". It matches the Rfam family "Bacterial small subunit ribosomal RNA", at positions 28 to 507 of the family's 1533-position model. The record is from RNAcentral.
GACGAACGCUGGCGGCGUGCCUAAUACAUGCAAGUAGAACGCUGAAGGAGGAGCUUGCUUCUCCGGAUGAGUUGCGAACGGGUGAGUAACGCGUAGGUAACCUGCCUGGUAGCGGGGGAUAACUAUUGGAAACGAUAGCUAAUACCGCAUAACAGUAGAUAUUGCAUGAUAUCUGCUUGAAAGGUGCAAUUGCAUCACUACCAGAUGGACCUGCGUUGUAUUAGCUAGUUGGUGAGGUAACGGCUCACCAAGGCGACGAUACAUAGCCGACCUGAGAGGGUGAUCGGCCACACUGGGACUGAGACACGGCCCAGACUCCUACGGGAGGCAGCAGUAGGGAAUCUUCGGCAAUGGACGGAAGUCUGACCGAGCAACGCCGCGGGAGUGAAGAAGGUUUUCGGAUCGUAAAGCUCUGUUGUAAGAGAAGAACGAGUGUGAGAGUGGAAAGUUCACACUGUGACGGUAUCUUACCAGAAAGGGACGGCUAACUACGUG